UCAAUCAACAUAUAUAAAAUGAACAUUGAUUCAGUCCAGAAAGGCAGGACAACUCAAGCAAAAGCAGGAGAAUUCAAAGCAACUUGAAGCAACUCGAAGUAGGAAGAGGGCUUCCAGGUCACAGACUGUUUGACCUCUGGUAACUAAAACUGCAGAAGGCAAAACUGGAUAAGGAGACUACUGUAAUGAUUAUGCUAUUACAAGACGCUCGAUUGCUAACAUCAGACAUUUUUAUAAAAGGAAGUGAAGCUAUGAGAUCCACAAUGUGAAUGUCACCCAACCAGAGGUGUUACUUUGUGCCAUGUACAACAUACACAACCAUAGGCCAGAAUCCUGCUAGGACAUCUCUGCCUGUGGAAGGAGGGCUGGAUGGCAUACUGGGAAUGGCUUUCUAGGAUGACUUCCUGUUGCUACAGACUACAAGAAGCAUUUCUGGCCUUGAUGUUGUCUGAAUGAAGAAGACAUAGGAGUUUCACCAAAGUAUAGCUCCCUGAAACCAGAUGGAUCAUGGCAGAUGAUAGUGGCUACUCUAAACUUGACCAAGUAGCUUCCACAAUUGAAGUCCCAAGCUGGAGCCUACAGGAAUGAGGAAGCAGGAAGGGCCAGAGUGAAGUGGAAACUUUGAACUUGAAGUUGGAAGACACUGGUACUCAUCUCUUCUAUUUGCUAGCUGUAUGAUCUUGGGCAACUUAUUUAAUUUAUCUUCCUCCAGUUUACUCAUUGAUUAAAUGAAGGUAACAAUUUUAUCUCAUAGGGAUAUGGGGAUGAUCGAGAGAGAUAAUAAAA
RNAcentral lists this long non-coding RNA (786 nucleotides) under Homo sapiens (human). Its description in RNAcentral is "HSALNT0309129". Lineage: Eukaryota; Metazoa; Chordata; Mammalia; Primates; Hominidae. The record is from RNAcentral.